This is a long non-coding RNA of Rosa chinensis, 1629 nucleotides long. RefSeq lists it as uncharacterized. Lineage: Eukaryota; Viridiplantae; Streptophyta; Magnoliopsida; Rosales; Rosaceae. The transcript has 4 exons. The record is from RefSeq and is a predicted model, not a curated record.
UUCUUUACACAUUCCAAUCAACUUUAAUUUUCUUCUCUGUUCUCUCUCCGUCCCACCCUCCCUUGACCCUUUUCUUCUCGAUCUGGAGCAAGAAGCAGAAACAACUCGAGUUUCAUCCUCGGUCUCAAUCCAUCGUCUCUUGCUUCCUGAAGAUGUUACGGCGAGGCCGAUCCCCAUAUCAAGUCACUGUUCUCUUGCAUCAAGCAGAAGAAGAAGAGGCUGACUAGCUCUCUGUCAAAAUUUCACAGGUUAAAUCUGAAAUAUCUCUUAGGUUUUAUUCCUAUUGAGUAUUUUCUGUGAUUGGGUCUAUUUGAUUGAAGAUUUCUCACAUUUUCUUCACAUUGAAAAUCCCUAUGUGAUUGGGUCUAUUUGAUAUCUCGUUUGGUAUUUUCGAACUGUGAUUCUAUUAAGGAUUUCGAUGGGUUCCAGGUUCAGACAAUUUUCAGGUUGUAGAGGUUUUGAUUUUGAGUAUAAUUGGUUUUGGGUAUACCAUAUUUUAAGGUAAUUUUGUCCAGUGACUCCAUUAGGAUGAUUAGGACUGGGAAGGAUCAAGUUCAGUUAUUGCACACCAUGUGUUUGAAGUUAUGCCUCAAAGACAGCACCCAAGCUGAACCAGUGGGCUAUUCCAUGAUUUUCGAAAACCCUAUACUUCUUCUUUUACUCUCAGUUUUUGAUAGCUUAAAAUAGACUCUUCAAUGAUCAUUUUGAGCUUGGUUUCAUGAAAAACGGAGUUAAAAUGAAAUACUUAUGCCAUUUUGAAAUUACUGCACUGUUUCAGGAUUUCUGCAGAAAUCAGUAUUUUCUGCUACUUUGGAUUCUUGUUUGACCACUGAUUUGAACUGCGAAUGACCUGAAAUUUUGCAAAAUAGUAGCUUUACAUGUCUACUUCAAAUCUGGAGAGUUUUGCAUGAAAUAACUGAAGAGUAGUUGUUGGUGAAUUUUUCUUUCUUGCUAACAGUCUUCUGAAAUUUUCUCAAAUUUGCAGCAACCUUGUUACAAAACAAUCUGUUUGACAGGCCUUCACACCUUUGUUAGUCCUUGAAUUUUAGUAUGUUAAAAUAGACUGAAUAUUAACAUUCUUAUCUGGAUUUCUUGUUAACACUUAAGCAAGUUUGUAGAGAAAACAACAACCAUGGGUCUAGAAGAAUGCUAUUCACAUCGAUAUUUACUUUAAAGUCAGUGCAAGAGAACGAUAACUAUGCUGCAAUGAGAGAAAAGCCCAAAGAUUUUGCAAGUGAAAGCAUAGCAAGAGCUUAAGUUGGUUUGGGUCAAACUGAGAUUUAAGUUGAAAUUUGCUUUGAAUGUGGUAGGCACAUAUGUGCGCCAUGAUUGUACUAUUGUUGCCAUUGCUGAAGAAAGCUGCCGCUGAUACACCAGAGUAACAAGCCUCCACAAAGAAGGUUGAACAUGAUGCAAAAGUAUGGAACAACUGCAAGUUGGAGACCAGUGGAGUGGAGCGGGUCAGCCUAGUUUAUCAACUUUUGGUCUUCUUUUUGGGUCCUCUUAUGAUGUAGUGGAAUUAAAUGAUGAAACAAAUGUGAUGAUUUCUUAAUGAAACUAGUAGUAUUAUGUCUCCAUUGUGAUAUGUGUAAAUAAAAAGAUAAUUGAUUUCUGAAUUUAACCAGAAAU